This 433-nucleotide ribosomal RNA is filed under the name uncultured bacterium. RNAcentral describes it as "partial 16S ribosomal RNA". It matches the Rfam family "Bacterial small subunit ribosomal RNA", at positions 29 to 507 of the family's 1533-position model. The record is from RNAcentral.
AACGAACGCUGGCGGCAGGCCUAACACAUGCAAGUCGAGCGAGAUCUUCGGGUCUAGCGGCGGACGGGAGAGUAACGCGUGGGAAUAUGCCUCUUGGUACGGAAUAGCCUCGGGAAACUGGGAGUAAUACCGUAUGUGCCCUUUGGGGGAAAGAUUUAUCGCCAAGAGAUUAGCCCGCGUUGGAUUAGGUAGUUGGUGGGGUAAUGGCCUACCAAGCCGACGAUCCAUAGCUGGUUUGAGAGGAUGAUCAGCCACACUGGGACUGAGACACGGCCCAGACUCCUACGGGAGGCAGCAGUGGGGAAUCUUAGACAAUGGGGGCAAACCUGAUCGAGCCAUGCCGCGUGAGUGAUGAAGGCCUUAGGGUUGUAAAGCUCUUUCAGCUGGGAAGAUAAUGACGGUACCAGCAGAAGAAGCCCCGGCUAACUCCGUG